UGGGGAAUUUUGGACAAUGGGCGCAAGCCUGAUCCAGCAAUGCCGCGUGCAGGAUGAAGGCCUUCGGGUUGUAAACUGCUUUUGUACGGAGCGAAAAGGUCUGCCCUAAUACGGUGGGCUCAUGACGGUACCGUAAGAAUAAGCACCGGCUAACUACGUGCCAGCAGCCGCGGUAAUACGUAGGGUGCGCGCGUUAAUCGGAAUUACUGGGCGUAAAGCGUGCGCAGGCGGUUAUGCAAGACAGAGGUGAAAUCCCCGGGCUCAACCUGGUACCUGCAUUUGUGACUGUAUAGCUAGAGUACGGUAGAGGGGGAUGGAAUUCCGCGUGUAGCAGUGAAAUGCGUAGAUAUGCGGAGGAACACCGAUGGCGAAGGCAAUCCCCUGGACCUGUACUGACGCUCAUGCACGAAAGCGUGGGGAGCAAACA
RNAcentral lists this ribosomal RNA (427 nucleotides) under uncultured bacterium. RNAcentral describes it as "bacterial SSU rRNA". It matches the Rfam family "Bacterial small subunit ribosomal RNA", at positions 355 to 774 of the family's 1533-position model. The record is from RNAcentral.